This 1369-nucleotide ribosomal RNA is filed under the name uncultured bacterium. Its description in RNAcentral is "bacterial SSU rRNA". It matches the Rfam family "Bacterial small subunit ribosomal RNA", at positions 8 to 1382 of the family's 1533-position model. The record is from RNAcentral.
AGAGUUUGAUCUUGGCUCAGGACGAACGCUGGCGGCGUGCUUAACACAUGCAAGUCGAACGAUGAAGCCUAGCUUGCUAGGUGGAUUAGUGGCGAACGGGUGAGUAAUACGUGAGUGACCUACCUUUGACUCUGGGAUAAGCCUGGGAAACUGGGUCUAAUACCGGAUACGACCAAUCUCCGCAUGGGGUGUUGGUGGAAAGCGUUAUGGAGUGGUUUUAGAUGGGCUCACGGCCUAUCAGCUUGUUGGUGAGGUAAUGGCUUACCAAGGCGACGACGGGUAGCCGGCCUGAGAGGGUGACCGGCCACUCUGGGACUGAGACACGGCCCAGACUCCUACGGGAGGCAGCAGUGGGGGAAUAUUGCACAAUGGGCGCAAACCUGAUGCAGCGACGCCGCGUGAGGGAUGACGGCCUUCGGGUUGUAAACCUCUGUUAGCAUCGAAGAAGCGAAAGUGACGGUAGGUGCAGAGAAAGCGCCGGCUAACUACGUGCCAGCAGCCGCGGUAAUACGUAGGGCGCGAGCGUUGUCCGGAAUUAUUGGGCGUAAAGAGCUUGUAGGCGGUUGGUCGCGUCUGCUGUGAAAGGCUGGGGCUUAACCCUGGUUUUGCAGUGGGUACGGGCUAACUAGAGUGCAGUAGGGGAGACUGGAAUUCCUGGUGUAGCGGUGGAAUGCGCAGAUAUCAGGAGGAACACCGAUGGCGAAGGCAGGUCUCUGGGCUGUAACUGACGCUGAGAAGCGAAAGCAUGGAGAGCGAACAGAAUUAGAUACCCUGGUAGUCCAUGCCGUAAACGUUGCCCAAAAGGUGUGGGGGACAUUCCACGUUUUCCGCGCCGUAGCUAACGCAUUAAGUGCCCCGCCUGGGGAGUACGGCCGCAAGGCUAAAACUCAAAGAAAUAGACGGGGGCCCGCACAAGCGGCGGAGCAUGCGGAUUAAUUCGAUGCAACGCGAAGAACCUUACCAAGGCUUGACAUAUACUGGACUGCGUCAGAGAUGGCGUUUCCCUUCGGGGCUGGUAUACAGGUGGUGCAUGGUUGUCGUCAGCUCGUGUCGUGAGAUGUUGGGUUAAGUCCCGCAACGAGCGCAACCCUCGUUCUAUGUUGCCAGCACGUGAUGGUGGGGACUCAUAGGAGACUGCCGGGGUCAACUCGGAGGAAGGUGGGGAUGACGUCAAAUCAUCAUGCCCCUUAUGUCUUGGGCUUCACGCAUGCUACAAUGGCCGGUACAGAGGGUUGCGAUACUGUGAGGUGGAGCUAAUCCCUAAAAGCCGGUCUCAGUUCGGAUUGGGGUCUGCAACUCGACCCCAUGAAGUCGGAGUCGCUAGUAAUCGCAGAUCAGCAACGCUGCGGUGAAUAAGUUCCCGGGCCUU